UGGGGGAUUUUGCACAAUGGGGGAAACCCUGAUGCAGCGACGCCGCGUGAGCGAUGAAGGUUUUCGAAUCGUAAAGCUCUGUCCUAUGGGAAGAUAAUGACGGUACCAUGGGAGGAAGCCCCGGCUAACUACGUGCCAGCAGCCGCGGUAAUACGUAGGGGGCGAGCGUUGUCCGGAAUUACUGGGCGUAAAGGGUUCGCAGGCGGCAUGGCAAGUCCGAUGUAAAAGGCGAAGGCUCAACCUUCGUAAGCAUCGGAAACUGUCAAGCUUGAGUGAAGGAGAGGCAAGUGGAAUUCCUAGUGUAGCGGUGGAAUGCGUAGAUAUUAGGAGGAAUACCGGUGGCGAAGGCGACUUGCUGGACUUCAACUGACGCUGAGGAACGAAAGCGUGGGUAGCAAACAGG
RNAcentral lists this ribosomal RNA (403 nucleotides) under Fusobacteriota bacterium. RNAcentral describes it as "Fusobacteria bacterium partial 16S ribosomal RNA". It matches the Rfam family "Bacterial small subunit ribosomal RNA", at positions 355 to 776 of the family's 1533-position model. The record is from RNAcentral. Lineage: Bacteria; Fusobacteriati; Fusobacteriota.